RNAcentral lists this transfer RNA (84 nucleotides) under Methanocorpusculum sp. Its description in RNAcentral is "tRNA-Leu". It matches the Rfam family "tRNA". Rfam says of the family: Transfer RNA (tRNA) molecules are approximately 80 nucleotides in length. Their secondary structure includes four short double-helical elements and three loops (D, anti-codon, and T loops). Lineage: Archaea; Methanobacteriati; Methanobacteriota; Methanomicrobia; Methanomicrobiales; Methanocorpusculaceae. The record is from RNAcentral. RNAcentral also lists the same sequence under 1 other name.
GCGAGGGUUGCCAAGCCCGGUCAACGGCGCCGCAUUUAGGGUGCGGUCUCAAGGAGUUCAUGGGUUCGAAUCCCAUCCCUCGCA